CUUACAAUUGCGAUGGGGGGACGGAGAAGGCUAGGUGGGCCUGGCGACGGUUGUCCAGGUUCAAGUGCGUAGGCUUAAGAGUUAGGUAAAUCCGGCUCUUUUUAAGGCUGAGACACGACGUCGAGCAUCUACGGAUGUGAAGUCAUUGAUGCCAUGCUUCCAGGAAAAGCCUCUAAGCUUCAGAUUGUAAGGAAUCGUACCCCAAACCGACACAGGUGGUCGGGUAGAGAAUACCAAGGCGCUUGAGAGAACUCGGGUGAAG
This 262-nucleotide ribosomal RNA is filed under the name Vibrio parahaemolyticus. RNAcentral describes it as "partial 23S ribosomal RNA". It matches the Rfam family "Bacterial large subunit ribosomal RNA", at positions 1447 to 1709 of the family's 2925-position model. Lineage: Bacteria; Pseudomonadati; Pseudomonadota; Gammaproteobacteria; Vibrionales; Vibrionaceae. The record is from RNAcentral.